GUGGGGAAUAUUGGACAAUGGGGGGAACCCUGAUCCAGCCAUGCCGCGUGUGUGAAGAAGGCCUUUUGGUUGUAAAGCACUUUAAGCGAGGAGGAGGCUACCGAGAUUAAUACUCUUGGAUAGUGGACGUUACUCGCAGAAUAAGCACCGGCUAACUCUGUGCCAGCAGCCGCGGUAAUACAGAGGGUGCAAGUGUUAAUCGGAUUUACUGGGCGUAAAGCGCGCGUAGGUGGCCAAUUAAGUCAAAUGUGAAAUCCCCGAGCUUAACUUGGGAAUUGCAUUCGAUACUGGUUGGCUAGAGUAUGGGAGAGGAUGGUAGAAUUCCAGGUGUAGCGGUGAAAUGCGUAGAGAUCUGGAGGAAUACCGAUGGCGAAGGCAGCCAUCUGGCCUAAUACUGACACUGAGGUGCGAAAGCAUGGGGAGCAAACAGGAUUAGAUACCCCAGUAGUCC
RNAcentral lists this ribosomal RNA (451 nucleotides) under uncultured bacterium. RNAcentral's name for it is "partial 16S ribosomal RNA". It matches the Rfam family "Bacterial small subunit ribosomal RNA", at positions 354 to 796 of the family's 1533-position model. The record is from RNAcentral.